AAAAUUCAUCUCAUCAAUUAACUAACUAACUUUAAAUUGAAAAGAUCUUAAUUUUUAAUGACUGAGAAGAAAUGAAAAAGAAAAAAAAACCAAAAAACAUGCUGGUUAAAUAGCAAGCCCUUGUUACUCUAAAACUUUCUGGUAUGCAAGAGUACUUUAUAUAGCAUUAAUUAAGUAAUGUCUACUUAUAAUAAAAUGUAGAAAAUUGUAGUAUUCAUUAUAAAUACAAAGUAGCCCUAAAUUGAUUUACUAUAGUAUAUAUAAGCAUUUCAAAACAUUUUACUUUCUUUGUUUUUUGGGGGUGUGUUUUGCAUUUGUUACAAUAUCAAAUAUAACAAAGAAUAGUUGGGCACAAAGAGAUACUUUGGCAAAGCACCAAGAAUGUUUAGUGGAGUGCAAAGCAGCUAAUAUAUUUAUGGAUCUACUAAAUCCCUAUAAGUACCUUUAAAUUUUCUAUCAUGUUUUUCAAAAAGCAAAACAAACAAAUAAAAACCUUGAAGAAAUGAAAUCAUCAUGUGUAACUUGAAAUUCUACAGCCAGGAAUCUAUCUAAUGAGAGUAAACAAGACCAUCGCCUGUUACUAUGGCAGUCCCUGAAUACUACCACAGGUAAUGAAAUAUGUGACAGCUUCAAAAGGCAAAAUUAAAUUAAACAUCUCAGUGUUCUGACAAAAUAAAAGUCUAUCAAUAGCUAUGUCUCUUUUCUGACAAUGUACAAUUCGAUUGCUAAAAUAUAAGCCUGCUUCUGUGUCCUUGUUUGCAAAAGUGUUAUGCCUCUACCAAAGGACUUUGACUCUACAGUGGAAUUCAUUUCAGGCUUUUCUUUUCCCCUUUAUAUAAAGCAACCUGCCUGUAGAUCUUAAGGUUACAAUAAAGAAUGUUUGAAAAUAGUAAACGUCAUCACUGUUUAUUCUACCCCCUGGGCAAAAUGCUUGUCUACAAUCACAACCGACUCAUGUGUAUGUUGCUGCUGCUCUGACAUUCAAAUUUAAGACUUACACAUAAUAUUGAAAAGAAUAAUUUUCCUAUUCAUGUCAAAAGCUCUUGUUUAUAUUUGAAAAUCAUAUUUUUCUCCAUCAAAACCAGAAAAUAUCUGAAAGAAAAUCAAAUCACCAGGGCCUCAAAAUUUAAUCUUCUCUACUGACUAAGGGAAUUUGGAGGAAAUGGCUAAAGGAAGAGCCAAGAUGGGUUGGUUAGUUGAUAUUGUUCUUCCUGUGGGAUUGCAAUCCCCUUCAACUCCUUCAGUCCUUCCCCUAUCUUUUCCAUUGUGGUACCUGGUCUCAGUCAGAAGGUUGGAUGUGAGUAUCUGCGUCUGCAUUACUGUGCUGGCAGAGCCUCUCAGGGACAGGCAUAUAAGGCUCCUGCCAGCAAGCUCUUUUUGGCAUCAGCAAUAGUGUCUGGGUUUGGUGUCUGCAGAUAGGAUGGGUCCCUAGAUGGGGAGGUCUCUGGAUGACCUUUUGUUCAGCCUCUCCAUUUUUGUCAAUGCUUUUCCAUUAGACAGGAACAAUUCUGGGUUAAAAAUUGUGAGAUGUGUGGGUGACCCCAUCCCUCAACUUGCCUAUCUAUUUACUGGAGGUGGUCUCUAUAGGUUCUCUUCCAGGGACUACACCACCAACAAAAGAAUAUACAUGGAGGGAUUCAUGGUUCCAGCGACAUAUGUAGCAGAUGAUGGCCUUAAAUGGCAUCACUGAGAAGGGAGGCCCUUGGUCCUAUGGGGGCUUGAUGGCCCAGCAUAGAGGGAUGCUAGAAUAGUGAGGCAAGAGUGGGUGAAUGGGUGGAGGGGUACCCUCAUAGAGGCAAAGAAGAGACAGGAGAGAUGAGAAUGGGGGGGUUAUAGAGGGGAAACCAGGAAGGGGAUAUCAUUUAAAAUGUAAAUGAAUAAAAUGAUACUUUUAAAAAACAGUUAUUAAUUAGAGAAUGGGAAGGGGAAUGGGCACAGGAGCUGUUGGAAGGAGACUACCAGGGAGGGGGAGGGAAGAAAGUGAUGAAAUGCUCUUCCACUUAAAAACAUAAAAUAAAAAUAAAUAAAUAAAUAAAAAGCAACAGACAAACAAAAAGAGCCAAGAUGUGUUUGCUCUGUGCACUGAGGAGCUAAACUUCCUGCUGUUCUAUUAGCAGCAUAGAGACCUCUGUUUAAGAGUAAAUCUUGGUCAAUAUUGCCAAAGUUCAGAGAAGAGUAAAAUAUUCCUGCAAGCUCUGAGAUUCAGAAAGUUGGAAGAAAGAAGCUACCUGUCUCUUCAUUGUCUGUACCACAUAGUUAGUUUAUAAAUGUUACUCAAGAGAGGCUCCCCUUGCUUGGUUAUUUGUUGGUCAGUUUGAAGAAAGAAAAGCACAAAACAUUAUCAAAAACUUGAAUGAAGUACAAAUUUUCAGGGCUCCUCUUGGUAGAGCAACAAUUCCAUGUUCAGUAAAGAUCCACUUGUCUUAACAAGUGAUCCUUUUUUUAUAUAUUUUUUAUUACGUAUUUUCCUCAAUUACAUUUCCAAUGCUAUCCCAAAAGUCCCCCACACCCUCCCCACCCCACUCCCCUACCCACCCAUUCCCAUUUUUUAGCCCUGGCGUUCCCCUGUACUGGGGCAUAUGAAGUUUGCCUGUCCAAUGUAAUCCUGUUAUGUUUGAGAAUAUUUCAUUCCUAGAAAAAUGGAACUUUGACUUGAAUGUUUAAAUUUAUGGUGAAAUGGGAGAAUGCCUAUCCCAUAUUGAAUGCUAUCAGCCAAUCAGGUCUCAUUCAUUUCCCUGCAAGGGCUCUGAGAAGGACAUUAGAGAUGGCUGCCUCCUUGUUCAACCGAGGCUGUACAGUGAAGGGGGAUAGCUACCACUUGAAGCCACUUGCUGUGAGAAUCUGUGUGUCUAUCAGCUGUUCUUAAGCAGAGGCAACACACUUGUCAUUGGACAGUCUUUCCCCAGGGGUAGACUGGUCAUUGCCGAGAAAGCACAACUCUCAUCUCAUGAGGAAGAAUUGUUUGUAUUCUGCAUGCCCUUUCUGAAAAAGAACACUGGAAUCAAGUUCUGAUGCUUGUGAAUCUAAUCUGGUUUUUAGUAUUUAUUAUUAAUAGAUUAUUUAAUUGUUGCUGCCUUGUUUCUUCCCAAGUAAACAAUUAGAGACUAAGUAAUUUCCUUAUUUCUGUUUUGCAAUAUACUCAGACUCAUGGAAGUCCUUUUUUUGAUACUUAUUUUAACCAUUUGACUACUCCACCUGGAAAAUCCUAGUGAUUGCAUUGCAUAUUUCUUUAAGGCCUCAAUACAUGAUAGAACGGUGUAUUCAUAAGAAACCUAGGAUUAUCUGUUGAAUUUUGCUUCCUGUGAUAUAAUGCAUACAGGUAUAGUUCAAGAUAGUACUUGAAAGUAUUUAAAAGUUCUCUUAUUAGAUUCUACAUCAUAUUACCCACAUACCCUAAUUAUCUAAUAAGCAGUAUAUGGAAGCAAACCAGGUAUCUUGAUCCAAAUGAAAUCAAUUAACGUUCACUCACAACCAAGGAAAGGACCACGGCCAAAACCAUGGAUUCUGGUUGACCUAAGUCAGAAGCUACUUUGUGUUAGUUGUCACAGAGCUUCUAUAGUC
Molecule: long non-coding RNA, 3561 nt
Filed under: Mus musculus (house mouse)
Lineage: Eukaryota; Metazoa; Chordata; Mammalia; Rodentia; Muridae
Description: long non-coding RNA chr3:76546690-76550251
Source: RNAcentral